UGCAUUGGUUAAUGAAGACAAACUGAUCGUCGAUCCCUUUUCUAAUGCGCUUUUAUACAUGGCCGCCAAUUCUGCCCUGGUAAAUCCAAGUACUUCUGGAUUUUUUACUUUGGUAACGAUCGGAAUGUGAGGCUGAAAAAUUAAAGGUUCACGCUCGUAAUGGAAAUACCAUGUUACGGAUGUGCGUAACAAACACUCGCGGUCAGUAUGUUCGCAAUUGUACUAGCAGGGAUGGACUGCACGAAUAUCCUCGGCCAACUCGUUCCCCACCAGGUAUUCGAGGAAUUCAUGGUUGUACGUAUCAGAACAUCCAUUAAGAGAUGCACAAACUUGCUGUAUGUUAAAUGCAUGUUUAAAGUUAACAUUUUUUUUUAGUGGGUUUCUGGUUAUUGGGUUAUGAUCAGUUCUGCGAUUACUGACGUAGUUUUAAGCAAUGAUUAUAUUUAUAAUCUUAUUUCUAAGAAAUAUUAAAAUAUUUAUAAUUAACAAUUUAUAUUACUUUUUAUCUACUUUUUUAAAAUAUAUACUUAGAAAUAUAAUAGAUAAAAGUUAAUGAGAUAUCAUUUUUACUAAAUAAUUCUUUUUAAUUAAUAAACUCAUAGGUACAAUUAUCCAAUUACCUACUACUACUACUAUGCAAGGUAAUAGAAAAUCUUAUCGGUGUAGAAAUAUAAGGAUGAUGUUUGAAAUAUGUUCAUUUCUAUUAUACUGUUACGAAAUUUUAUUCUUUUAAGAUUGCUGAUUCCAUAGACAUGCGAUAGAAUAUAGCGGAUGUGCUCGAAACCACAUACGUAUUUGACGAAUACCCCAUGAUCAAGUUUCCGAAUACACAUAAAUUGGACAACACGAGUGAUUAUUAAAUGACUCGUAAGAAAAAUGGGAACAGUACAGUAAACCAGUUCAGAGGAAACAAGCGACAAGAUUAAGUGCAAUUGUGAUCUGGUCUUUUGCUUUUUGACGCAAAUCGUAGGAUGGCAUCAAGUUCGUUAAAAGGAAACUUGCAUGGAUGCCUGAACACAGGCAAAAGCGAGAAUCGUAUACAUAAUAGAUAUAUAUUUCCUCAGUUGUGGUAAUACUUUUUGUUUUAAGCGAGAGGCAAUUGGUAUAUCAGUAUUAGUAUUUUAAUUGAGAAAGUUGUUUUAAUAUUUGAUUUAUUCUAAAAAUGCCAUAUGAGAUGGUAAUAAUGUAUAUGGAACAAUAUAAUAAUGGGAUAGUAAUUUCCUAGAAGAUAUAGUUUAUAACAUCCUGCUCGUAUAAAAUCUAUGUCGUGAUUAUAAUUGUCAUUAGUUUAUUAUGCAAAUCAUAGUGUAAGUUCUCGAUGUAGACCGUGUACAAUAAACGAUGAAGGAAUUGCGGUUCACUGAGUGGACCCGCGAGGAGCCGUUAGAUGGUAACCAAUGAUUUUCUUUAAUUAUAUUCGUCCACCGUAAUUACUCGUCUAGAUUACAAUACUGAUAUUUCCCACUUUCUACAUUAUACACUUUUCGUUACAAAAUUAAAUUGCUCUAAUUUCUUAUAAUGAUAAAUAUUGAUAAUAUUACAAUAAAAACGAUUAAAUAGUUAUGUAUACCAAUAUUAAUGAUGUUUGUAGCUUAAAAUUUACAUAGCGGUACAUUAACUCGUGGAAUUGAAAAUUACUAGAUUCGCGAAUAGAUAGAAAAUAAUAAUCAAAUAUUAUAUAUGCAUACAUUCGGAAUGGAAUUUUGUGAAUCUAUAAAUUACACGAAGGAAUUUAUAUAAAAGUAGUUUUAGAUUUUCGUUGGACGAAUGUUAAAAGAAUGUACCGUAAUGUUUCGUGUCCUGUUAUGUUAGUAAAAGAAAGGGGAGGAAAGGAAAACGAAAAUUGCUCGUAUAGUUCGUUAUUGUGUCAUGUAUUUCCUUUCACAUCGAGUGCACCGUUACCGAUAUCGCUUUACAAUUUUUUUUUCUUUUCAUACAAAAAGAUGAUUCGAUAAUCAGCGCCGCUACAUCGUUUUUGUGGUUCGUCUAUUAUCGGCGAACGAUCAAUUGUCGUUACACGUAUUUCAUAGAUAUAAUAUAUAUAAUAUAUAUAUAUAUAUAUAUCUUUAUCUUUAGCAUAACCUCCCUCUUAUAAAGUGAAUAUCAUACAAAAUCUAAGGCUAUACGUAAUUUAACUUUUAAUCCUCCAUUACAUACGAACAUAAUGCUCUAAUACAAUUGAAUUUCAAUUUUAUUUCUCUUACACGGUUUCAUUUACAAAAAAAAAAAGAUUCUACUUAUUAUGGGUUAACGAACCGGAUUGGAGACGACGGUGGUAGGCCCUCUUUUUAGAGCGUUUACAUUUUUCUUUACGAAAUAUACGAAGCACAGAAACUGUUCUUUUCUUGUGAAUUAGACCUGGUGCAGACGAGCCAUUGCGAUGUCAUUGCGAUUACGCAGUAGUGUACAAAGUUAUUGUUGCGAUUCAAUUAUGUAUAUAUAUUUUUAAUAAUGCAAUGCACAUAAGUGUGCGUUCCCGCUAUUAAUUUUUUCAUUUCUAACGUUGGCUGUAGUCAGCAUCCAUGCGAGGAACUGUGGAUACGAAUGCCGUCCAUAGUCGGCACGUAUGUAAUAAACCAUACUAACGCCGAUUAUAGUAAUGAUUUAUUCGGUAACAAUUGUGUUACGUUCUUUAGUUAUUAUUUUGAUUCUGUUCGGAAGAAUUCGGAAGCAAUCCGUUAAUGGUAUAUAUAUGUUAAUUUUUUCAAUGUUGAAAGUUACAGUUUUAUUUAACUCCUUUUUUCUAUGCAAAUAUUAAUGCAAAUGAAUAUUCGCGGCGCACGUUCCUCUACUAUAGAAGAACAAUAUUCGCAGUUAUAUGAAUUGUAAAGACAGGGUUAAAAAUAUAAUGUUAUUGAAAAUCGCACAUAGAGUUACCGCUACGAAAUCUCAACAAUAUUGAGUAGCUUAUUUGCACGUGGUCUUACACCCGUCAAUUAUAGACGGAAUGUCGAUUGCCGCUAAAUCGACUUGAACUUUGUCACGUAGUUUGUUCACGUGCGCGCGCACUUACGGUUACUACGCGCAUCAGUUCCGGCUGUUCAGCACCGUUCGAUAUUGAACACGAAAAUUUAAAGAGCCGUUCGUGUAUUAUAAUUUCUGAUAUUUGACGGUGAACUUAACGUGGUUAGUUAAAAAUAUGCCUUAAAAGGAUACGUUAUAUACAGAACGAAAGAAUACCGUUACAAAAGAUUAGUGCCCAAGUUGAUUGAAAGUGAUACUCGAUAAAGAUUUACGUUUUUUUUCAGAAUCACGAUAUACGAUCCUAUGAUGAAAGACUAUUCUUUGAAAAGAUCUGGUUUCGGCUCGUUCGCACAUUGAAUUCAGAUCACGAAUUGAGUAAUUAAUAAUUUGCAUUCAUUUUUGAGAAUUGUUUGUGCGAUUAUUAUAAACAACGAUGGAGAUUAUAUCGCUAGUAAUUUCGCUAAAAAUAGGCCGAGAUAGGCUUUUUCUCUUUCUUUUCUUGCUUCUAUCCUUAUCGUUUAAAUUGAGUAUCGGUAUACAAAAAGUUGUAAAUGUAAUUUUAUAGUAAGCUUCGAUUAACAUAAAGAAAGACGUACAUAUUGAAUGUACAUUACAGAUCGCUCUUAGAAUUAAUUGCUAGUCGUGUAAGUAGAUGAACAUAAAUGUACGCUAUACUGUAUACUAAAAAUGAAACAACGACGAUUCAUAGCACAUCUUUACGUACACAAUUCGAGCGGAAACUUAUAUAUAUGUAUUUGUACAUGGCAGCACGAUAUUUUUAAACGAACGUCGCAAGUAUACUUAUCCUUAAUUAUCAGAAUCCUCUACUUGACAGUACAGUCAUUGAAUAAAUAAAAAUUACAGAGUUCGAUAUAAGCUACGCAUCGGAGAAAAUCAAAUUUAACAAUAUAUCUAUACAUGUCGCUAAUCAAUUAAAUCGUGUAAAAUAUUUUAUUGCUAUGUUUACAGAAUAAGCAGUACCUCGUUAAAAUCCCGACGCAAAGGUUGUAACGAUAAUACCUAAUUAUAAAGAAUACUUUUGAUAAUACUUUUUUGUAUUAUCUGUCUACGAUAUUUCCUCCGCCAUUAAGAUUUUAUAACGAGAGAAAAUAAUCGGAAAUAUAAAACGAAGUAUACAUAUAUAGGGUAAUGUAUCUUGAUCCAUUAAUGAAUACGUAUUGGACAAAAUCAUUAAUUCGACAUAUGUAUAUUUUUUAAAUACCCUAUAUAUAUAAGCUUAAUACUCAGAUGUAACGUCUUUUUGCUUCGAGUAUUACAUAGUUUCGAAAAAAUCACUACGCAGUUUUUGUAAUUUCAGCAGCUAUUUACAAUGAAAGAUUAUUCCAUACACAUCGUGUCGGACCAUUGGCUGUAAGAUACCGAUAUUUUUACAUCAUGCCAAUAUUUGAACGCAAGUUGAACCGAUGCUACAUCGAAUGAUUGUAUAAAAAAAGAAGAAAAAAGAUCAGUAACAUUUUAAUUGUCAGAUUACUUUCAUCUUAACAGCGAGUAUUAAAAAAAUUUCAAAUAUGUAUAUCCGUAUCAAAUGUAAAAUGUCGUCGGAAGUUCAUUGAAGAAUUAGAUAAAAGUAACUCGAAAUUACAAGUUAUAAAAGUACAAGAUUGAUGCUAUAGAAACUAAUUUCUAUUGCCAGUUAUACAAAAAGGAUUGUGAUUCAUCACAUCUUAAACUCAUCAGUCGCAUAGAAUAUCACAGGAACGUUAGUAGGUGCCAUUGGAUUUAUGUAUAUCAAAUAGAUAGUACAUUGCUCGUGCACGUAUUAAGAAAGUAUAAAGAUGUAUAGAAAAAGAACAAAUCUUAAAGUUAUCCUGUUUCAAUUUAAAAUCCAAAGUCUGUCAGUAUACCCUUGUUACUAAGGCAAUAAUUCGCCGCUACAUUGCAUAUUUAAGAAGCUUUCUCAAUGUACUUUAGUGAAUCGUCAAACACAAGCAAUGAAUAAAUCACAAUGAAAAAAUGAA
Long non-coding RNA from Bombus huntii, 4943 nucleotides. RefSeq lists it as uncharacterized. Lineage: Eukaryota; Metazoa; Arthropoda; Insecta; Hymenoptera; Apidae. The record is from RefSeq and is a predicted model, not a curated record. The transcript has 4 exons.